UUGGAGGGCAAGUCUGGUGCCAGCAGCCGCGGUAAUUCCAGCUCCAAUAGCGUAUAUUAAAGUUGUUGCAGUUAAAAAGCUCGUAGUUGAAUUUCGGGAUCAAAUUGUUGGUCGUGCUUCGGUACGCACUGGCAUUAUUGGUUCCUACCUUCUGAAGAACCGCGAUGUCAUUAAUUUGGUGUCGUGGGGAAUCAGGACUGUUACUUUGAAAAAAUUAGAGUGUUUAAAGCAGGCUUACGCUUGAAUACAUUAGCAUGGAAUAAUGAAAUAGGACGUUUGAUUCUAUUUUGUUGGUUUCUAGGAUCGACGUAAUGAUUAAUAGGGAUAGUUGGGGGCAUUAGUAUUCAAUUGUCAGAGGUGAAAUUCUUGGAUUUAUUGAAGACUAACUACUGCGAAAGCAUUUGCCAAGGAUGUUUUCAUUAAUCAAGAACGAAAGUUAGGGGAUCGAAGACGAUCAGAUACCGUCGUAGUCUUAACCAUAAACUAUGCCGACUAGGGAUCGGAUGAUGUUAAUUUUUUAAUGACUCAUUCGGCGCCUUACGGGAAAC
RNAcentral lists this ribosomal RNA (548 nucleotides) under uncultured Glomeromycotina. RNAcentral describes it as "SSU rRNA". It matches the Rfam family "Eukaryotic small subunit ribosomal RNA", at positions 548 to 1098 of the family's 1831-position model. The record is from RNAcentral. Lineage: Eukaryota; Fungi; Glomeromycota. RNAcentral also lists the same sequence under 1 other name.